Molecule: ribosomal RNA, 480 nt
Filed under: uncultured bacterium
Lineage: Bacteria
Description: partial 16S ribosomal RNA
Rfam family: Bacterial small subunit ribosomal RNA
Source: RNAcentral
ACUCAAAGGAAUUGACGGGGACCCGCACAAGCAGCGGAGCGUGUGGUUUAAUUCGAUGCGACGCGAAGAACCUUACCUGGAUUCAAUCGAGAUUGCACCGCCCGUAAUGGGGCGUACCCGCGAGGGACGGUCUCGACGGUGCUGCAUGGCUGUCGUCAGCUCGUGCCGUGAGGUGUUGGGUUAAGUCCCCUAACGAGCGCAACCCCUGAGGCUGGUUACACGUCCAGUCUGACUGCCUCGCACAACGGGGAGGAAGGCGGGGAUGACGUCAAGUCAGCACGGCCCUUACGACCAGGGCAACACACACGCUACAAUGGUCGGGACAAACGGCCGCGAAGGGGCGACCCGCAGCCAAUCCGUAAACCCGGCCUCAGUGCAGAUUGCAGGCUGCAACUCGCCUGCAUGAAGGAGGAGUUGCUAGUAACCGCCGGUCAGCAUACGGCGGUGAAUACGUUCCCGGGUCUUGUACACACCGCCCGU